RNAcentral lists this ribosomal RNA (1471 nucleotides) under uncultured Bordetella sp. Its description in RNAcentral is "partial 16S-23S ribosomal RNA intergenic spacer". It matches the Rfam family "Bacterial small subunit ribosomal RNA". Lineage: Bacteria; Pseudomonadati; Pseudomonadota; Betaproteobacteria; Burkholderiales; Alcaligenaceae. The record is from RNAcentral.
GGUUCGAUCAUGGCUCAGAUUGAACGCUGGCGGGAUGCUUACACAUGCAAGUCGAACGGCAGCACGGACUUCGGUCUGGUGGCGAGUGGCGAACGGGUGAGUAAUGUAUCGGAACGUGCCUAGUAGCGGGGGAUAACUACGCGAAAGCGUAGCUAAUACCGCAUACGCCCUUCGGGGGAAAGCGGGGGGACCUUUCGGGCCUCGCACUAUUAGAGCGGCCGAUAUCGGAUUAGCUAGUUGGUGGGGUAACGGCUCACCAUGACGAUCCGUAGCUGGUUUGAGAGGACGACCAGCCACACUGGACUGAGACACGGCCCAGACUCUACGGGAGGCAGCAGUGGGGAAUUUUGGACAAUGGGGGAAACCCUGAUCCAGCCAUCCCCGCGUGUGCGAUGAAGGCCUCGCUGUAAAGCACUUUUGGCAGGAAAGAAACGGCAUCGGAUAAUACCCCGUGCAACUGACGGUACCUGCAGAAUAAGCACCGGCUAACUACGCCGGCAGCCGCGGUAAUACGUAGGGUGCAAGCGUUAAUCGGAAUUACUGGGCGUAAAGCGUGCGCAGGCGGUUCGGAAAGAAAGAUGUGAAAUCCCAGAGCUUAACUUUGGAACUGCAUUUUUAACUACCGAGCUAGAGUGUGUCAGAGGGAGGUGGAAUUCGCGUGUAGCAGUGAAAUGCGUAGAUAUGGAGGAACACCGAUGGCGAAGGCAGCCUCCUGGGAUAACACUGACGCUCAUGCACGAAAGCGUGGGGAGCAAACAGGAUUAGAUACCCUGGUAGUCCACGCCCUAAACGAUGUCAACUAGCUGUUGGGGCCUUCGGGCCUUGGUAGCGCAGCUAACGCGUGAAGUUGACCGCCUGGGGAGUACGGUCGCAAGAUUAAAACUCAAAGGAAUUGACAGGACCCGCACAAGCGGUGGGAUGUGGAUUAAUUCGAUGCAACGCGAAAACCUUACCUACCCUUGACAUGUCUGGAAUCCCGAAGAGAUUUGGGAGUGCCUGCAAGAGAACCGGAACACAGGUGCUGCAUGGCUUGCCGUCAGCUCGUGUCGUGAGAUGUUGGGUUAAGUCCCGCAACGAGCGCAACCCCUUGUCAUUGGUUGCUACGAAAGGCACUCUAAUGAGACUGCCGGUGACAAACCGAGGAAGGUGGGGAUGACGUCAAGUCCUCAUGGCCCUUAUGGGUAGGGCUUCACACGUCAUACAAUGGUCGGGACAGAGGGUCGCCAACCCGCGAGGGGGAGCCAAUCCCAGAAACCCGAUCGUAGUCCGGAUCGCAGUCUGCAACCGACUGCGUGAAGUCGGAAUCGCUAGUAAUCGCGGAUCAGCAUGUCGCGGUGAAUACGUUCCCGGGUCUUGUACACACCGCCCGUCACACCAUGGGAGUGGGUUUUACCAGAAGUAGUUAGCCUAACCGUAAGGAGGGCGAUUACCACGGUGAAAUUCAUGACUGGGUGAAGUCGUAACAAGGUAA